Molecule: ribosomal RNA, 311 nt
Filed under: Bicosoecida sp. CB-2014
Lineage: Eukaryota; Bigyra; Bicosoecida
Description: partial Bacterial large subunit ribosomal RNA
Rfam family: Bacterial large subunit ribosomal RNA
Source: RNAcentral
GAACUGAAACAUCUAAGUACCCGUAGGAGAAGAAAAUAAGAAUGAUUCCCGGAGUAGCGGCGAGCGAAACGGGAGGAGCCCAAACCAUCAAUGUGAUGGGGUUGAAGGACUGCGAGAUGGCAAGAGCGAGGAUAGCAGAAAACGAUUGGAAGCGUUGCCGAAGAGGGUGCAAGCCCCGUAAGCGAAAUCCGAGUGAAGCCUAGCAGGAUCCUGAGUACGGCGAGACACGAGGAAUCUUGUCGGAAGCAGGCGGGACCAUCCGCCAAGGCUAAAUAUAAGCGAGUGAGCGAUAGUGAACCAGUACCGUGAGG